Long non-coding RNA from Pangasianodon hypophthalmus (striped catfish), 15100 nucleotides. RefSeq lists it as uncharacterized. The transcript is spliced from 5 exons. NCBI's taxonomy places the organism in Eukaryota, Metazoa, Chordata, Actinopteri, Siluriformes, Pangasiidae. The record is from RefSeq and is a predicted model, not a curated record.
GUCUGUGUUUUUUUUUUUUUUUUAAACAGUUAAAGGAGGGGGGUCCCAGGGUGCCAGAAAGUUAUAUUAUGGUAUAUGUGUUUAUGAACUUACAGUAUGAUAAAAAAAAAUUACUUAAGUAAACUAUCUUUCAGUAAGGGAUGUGAUCAUAUGCUCCAUGGUUACUGAACAAGACAUUUAUAUACGACCUCUCUGUCUAAAGCUUCUGCAACGCAACACUGCAUUGCAGCACCACUGUGUAUGUUGAAAGGUUGCCCAUAUUGGACAGUGACAUCUCCUUCCUGAUCCCACUGUAUGCUGAACCCAUGCCAGGAAAGUGGCCUGAGAAGCAUGCCUCCCUGUUUAACAGCUCCAUUACAGGCACAAAGCCGAGAGCAUGUGCAGUUCUCUGUCUUUAUCACACUUAUUUCACACAUCACUGGAUCCCAAGGCCAACAGGAUUCACACUGCGUUUCCCUCCACCCCUUAAUAAAGUAAGUUUAGAGGAGAAGAAGGAGGUGAAGAAGCAUGCUGUAACAUUUCACAUAAGCAUCUCAUUCACCUUAACAGGCCAACAUAAUAAUAUAGAAGAUAAUUCUCUUAGCAUGACAGGACUGGAAGUCAAAGAUAAGACUGAAAGAUUAUUAAAUUACACGGCAGAUUCUUUAAUCUGAUGUAUGCCUUGAAUCCCAAAGGAUUAGCCUUAACAUAAAUGAUUUGAGUAAUGUGCCUUGUGUUGUAACUUGCCACACUUGCCACAUGAUUGUUAUUGGUCAAACAGCAACAAUCAAGUGGUCUCAGUUUCCCCUCAGAGAUCAGUAAAGUCUAUCUAUAAAAAUCAACCUGAUGGCUUCAACAUAAUUGGAUCUUGUGAUUGCUUUGGCUUUGUUUUGUUUGACCUUGAUGCCUCCUGGUCAUGUUUUCUCUUCUUGUAGUCAGAUCCAGUUCCAGAGAGACUCUCUCUCUCGUGUCUGAGCAUCUUUAUUUGUGUUGAGUCUAAAGCUGAGCAGCACUCGAGUUUUCACUUUGAGUAGCUGCUCAGGGGAGAGUGAAACCUAGCCUCGUCUGCAUGGUGGAAGACAUCCUGAGAGCUGAAAAGUGCUGUGUUGCCAGGUUUUUGUUAAUAGUUGUGCUGACGGUGGGAAAAAUCACCAUCGGAGGCCACCACAUAUAAGCACAGACAAUAAAUUUGGAAAGCAGAAUAAGAAUAGACUUGUCUGAUCACUAAUGGCCCACAUAGAGUCAGAGGCAGCAUCAGAAAUGCAACUGUAGCAAAACAUCGUGUUUCAAUAGACUAAAAAAAACGAUUAACAAGUGCCACAGCUUCUCCACAGAUACCGAACAAAGCAAUUAUUUUCUCUUAGACAAGCUUUUCAUCAGCCAAGAAAACAUUGGAGAAACAAGAGAGAUGAAAAGAGCAAGGAUGAUGUCAUCUGGAAGACUGCCUACCCCCUAAUCUCUUUUUCUCUCUCUCUUUCUCUCUAUAUACAUUCCAACCAUGUUGUUAUUCAAGCACAAUCCACUCUUCACUCAUUAGCAUCUUCUUCACGAAUGAGGUCUAACAUUUCUACUAACACUGACUGUCACACAGCCUGGCACUAACAAGAUGAAAAGAAAUAAUGUGUGACACUGUGCUGGAUCAUACCCCGUACAUCACAGCAGAGCAGUCUAGCGAAACCCUGCCACGGGGAUAUUUUUACCUUCCCAAAAUGUGAUCACUCACUGUAAUGGUAGUCUCUGAUGACCCAUUAAUUUGAUGUGGGAUUUAGAUGAAACACCAUGACGGUGCAGAUUUGAAGCUAGAAAAGCACUGUGGAUGAUUCAUUGUCUGACACAGGGACAGAAGUGACAAAGUAAACCACCUUUAAUAUGAGCUCAGAAGAAAUUCUUUACUCCAUGACACCCUGGAGUGAACUCCAGCAUAAUUUGAUGCAAUUUCGGGCCUCAUUCAUGAAAUUUGAUGCUAAACUUCAUGGAUUUGAUGACAUUAAAAUCUUGACGAUUGAACUGAGAGAAAAAUAUUCUCAUACUGUAUGUACGCGAACUAAAAAUUAUGUGUACGUAAUUUUAGUGUCCAAGAGCAGCUAACUUUUUCCCCAAUGACUUUUAGUUAAACCAGUGUGACAUACGUGAGUGACUAAUUGAAUGAUUUAAUUAAUAAAUUAAACCAAUACUGAUUAUUAAACCUCCACGGAAAUAAUAAUUGUUAUAGUACAUUAUUGUUUUGUGUAGUAACAGCUCAUUCACAGGGAUAUGUAUGGUGGACAAUGUACUUAAUCUAAGGCUAGUAAUAAACAAAUUUUAAAACGUUAUUUAACAAUGAAAAAUGGAUAAUUGUUGGCAUGGUGAUGCUUUCUGUACGGAGACGCUUAAUUAACAUUUAUAGAAGGUGUCUCUACUGUCAAAGCUUUGUAAAUGUCAGUAAGUCUUCCAACCUUGCGAAGGUCUUUAGGACUUUGUGCUCUCCAGUUUCUCAGUGAUAUGACAAGCUGCAUUGUUUGUCUUAUUAACUUCAAGAAAGAGAAAAAUGCGGGGUUGGUGAGGGAACUGUUUAUAGCUCCUAUAACGCAGAUGAUAACAGGAACUAACUUGUCUCCUGGACAUUAAAAAGCACCAUGUGUAAUUCAUUAUUAAAUUAAAAUCUUAAUUGUUAGAAGAAUAAAACAUAUCAGGAUGUGCUGUUAUUGGAAAAUAAUCAACUUUGUGGUGGUAAUGGUAUCACUCCACCCUGUCAUUGAUUAUUUUACUAUAACAGCACUCCCCUUAAUUUUAUUUCUUACUUAACCUUUUUUACCCGCAGUAAUUCACUCUUUUUACCCGCAGUGAUUUAAUCUUUUACUCACAUUUAGGAUUCAGCACACACAUACAGUACAUACUGUAGGUCCCCUGCAUGUUUAAACCAACUUCGUCUGUAUGUCAGCUGACAUUUACCUGGGUUGUAGUCAUUUUACUUAUGAAAUGUAAACUGAAAUUUUAAAACAGAAUCUUAACAGGAAAAGAACACCAGCAUCACCAGUAACACCAGAAUCACAGAGCAGUUAUAAUGUCGGCCGUAUCAAUGACUGCUAUUCAGACAAAUCUUUCUGACCACGCUGAUCAGGCUAGAUCAAUCUUGCUAGAGGUCAAUCAUAAAUGAAUGCUAAGGCAAUUAUAUUGCAUAGGAGUCAGAGAAGCUUUACUCAUUUCACGAAGGUCAACAUGAUAGGGCUCCAGUUCUACCAGUGGUUAAAUAUAUGCUGUGAAUCAUGCAAGCUUUCCUAAUUUCUUCUAAACGCCAUGAAUGCCACUGAUGAUUACCCCUUGGUCACCAAAUUUGUCCCCCAGUAGUCCCAAACCUUUGAGCUCUAACCAUCUGCUUAACCCUCUGUUGUAUAGAUCUCUGUCACACCUAGCAAUCCAAAUAUGACCAAUCCUAUACACUGUCUAGAUACAGUACAGUGUUACAUUCCUGAAGCACAGGAACAAGAAGAUAAUUAUAGCUCACUGUACUUCAUUGCACCCAGCUGUUUGCCUGGCCUGGUAAUAAGAACUGGCUCAAACUCAAGUUUGGCUCUGAAUUGUAAGUUUGACAAAGGGCAGACAGGUGUGUCAGAGUGUCCACUCUCUGGAGCCUAAUUAUGGAGCAGAUGGGUGUCCCUGACUGCAGCUUCUGUCUCACGAAACCUGCAGGGAAGAGACAGGCAGAACAGACUCACGCACACACACAGGCGAGUAGAACACAAUGGCCUCCUAAAAGUGCUGCAAUGACCUUCAACUUAUCACCACACACUCAGCUAUAGCAUCUAUGUGUGUGUAUCUGACGACAGUAUACGAAAAACAGAGAUCCUGUCCACGUGAAUACAUAAUGUACACUCCUGGGCAAAAAGAAAAAAGGUCCCAAAAUGGCAGAAAUAUUAAGCUUUUAAUGGUCUUAACAGCAAAUCAUUGGCCAGGAAGUUAGCAAGAAUUAAACAAAUACUGAAGAUCUCUCCCUGCUCUAUCAAUCCCAGUUCCAUUUAUGAGCUUGUUGGGCUGCAUCAGGUGUGGCAGAUAACCAAAUAAAGACUAAUCUUUUCAGAAAAAAAAACACCCUAGAAGAUAUAUUUUUUAAAUUUUGUACAUAGACAUGUGUUUGUAUGAAUUUCAUACAAUGAAUUGUAUGAAUUUUACAUCAAAUAUUUUAAUCAUUUUAUCAUGAUUUUUACUCUGUGAUUUUACCAAGAAGACUAUAUAAGUGAAUUUCCCUGUUUUUAGCUUUUCCCAGUUCACUGCAGCAAAAGUAAAUGAGCAAAUAGUGGCGCAGGGGGUCUCAGGAAUGCAUUUGUUUUACUCUUGCUAAUUUUCGGACCCAUUAUUUGGUGUUAAGACCAUUACAAGCUUAAUAUUUUUGCCAUUUUGGGCUUGACCCGUUUUUUUUAAUAUUUUUUUUUUGCCCUGGAGUGUAUGUCUCUGUAUAUCCAUAUAAUUUUAUACCGUUUUCCUGAAAUUGUGGCAUUACUUGUAGAUAGAUAUAGUAUAUAGUAAGUAGAUAUGUGAUGUACAUCUGCAAAAGCAAGUGCCAGUGCAAAUGCCAGUAGUGUUUAAAGAGAGCAUGUGAAAAAGUUUUCUUCACACCUUCCUUAGAAACUGAAUACAUAGACAUAUACACACUGUUAUAUUUCCUGUUUAUAUUAUAUUUUUUCCACGGGUCUCAUUCAACAGCUUGACUUGACACACAAUUAUGACUAUUUAUAGCAAGUUUCAGUUUUAUCCUUCCAAGAGUCAGUUUGAAAUCUGAACUUGCCAAUGAUGUUAAAAAAACAAUUAACACACAAAAACCUUUGUCACACUAUGAUAACAGAAUACAAUAUUGCACCUUAAGUGCAUCAUCCAUAUAAGUGCUUCCUAAGUAUGAAUAGUACAAACAAAUUCAGAACUAUUUAAUUAUUGUAGACUUUUCUCCCCCAACGUGGAUGCAGUGUUUAUUAUCAAAGCAAUGUCCAUUUACACACACACACACACACUAGUAGACUUAUGUUUAUGUUUGUUUAUGUUUAUGUGGUUAAAGCACUUGGUUAAUGUUACUGUAUUAUGGGCUCUUAAGCUAUUUAAUGGAUGUGAGUGAAGGCUGGCAGUAGAAUAUAGCCAGCGGUUAGGGUUAGUGUGACAUGAUAAACCAUUUUAUAGGGUGUAAAAUAGCUCAGAUCCUUGCAGCAUUCAAGUCAUAGAGAUGCUAGUAUAAACCAAGUGAUGUUAAAAGGACAACACUAAUGCGUUUUAAAGGCCCUAACAACAUCAAUUUGAGAUGGGAUGCUAUCCCCACAGAUAAAAAAUGACACAAGGCUGUCUGUGAAAACCUAUCAGAUGUCAGUGUGUCAGAAUUCUGACAAACAGCCAAAAGAUAUGAAAAAUCAGGUUUUGGCCACAGUUGUAUUUUUCUGCCUAUAACAUAUAUUGGCAUCUAAAAUUUGAUUAUUUUGAUUAUUACAAAAUGGAAAGAAUAUGGAGCAACUGCAAUUCUGUCUAGAGGAGGCCAUCCACCAACAGCCAAUGACUGAAUAAGGAGAGCAUUAUUCAGAGAAGCAACCAAGUGAGCUCCCCAUCUCAGAUAGGAGAAACUGUUCACAAGACAAACAUAGUCUGAACACUCCACAAAGUAAGUAUAUAAGAGUGUCAAGCCAUUUGAAAUCCAAUUACAUAUUGGAAGUUCAGCAAAUAUGUAGAAAAAGGUUCUUUGGUCUAACAAGAUGAAAACUGAAGAUUUUAGCCUUGGAACACCAACACUGUUCAUCACCCUGAGAACAUCAUCCCCACAGUGAAGCAUACUGGUGGUAGCAUGUUCAGGGUCCCACUGCCUCUUGGCUGCUUCUCUGUCUAAUGCUCUCCUUACUUGGUCACUAAACUUUGGUGGACAGUGUCCUCUAAGCAAAGUCAUGGUUGUGGCAUAUUCUUUAGAUUUUUAAUACAGAACUGUUUAUAUCUGUUAUUACACCUGCAGUUAAGAGAAAAAUGAUUUAUGAAGUGUGAAGGUUUUCAUGACAAAAUAAGACAUACUGUGUGAGGCAUUUGCAUUUGUUGUACUAAAACCAGUGACUCAGAGGAAUAUGUGUGUGCGUAUGCUUGUUUCUGGAGCUGAGGCAAGUUUUUUGAUGUGUGUUUCUUUUUAAAGCAGGGUGAGACCAGUGCCAGAUUAGUGUAUUCCAAGUUUUUAGUGAAGAUCAGCCAAGCAUUUCAUUACACUGAGCUCUUCAAGGACGUACAUGUUCACCAAACUGAUUCAGCUCGGUAAUAAAUGAAGUAAUUAGAAAAUGUUGGGCAGUGUAUGUGAGUUUUAAUUGUGUUUAGACAGUUAAAUACAGUAUACUGAAUGCAAGCAAUCAAAACCAAAAAGAAUUGUGAUUCUUUGACAUACAUUUUAGGAGCUUUGGUGGACUAGGUGCCCCCCAGUUGAUCAAUAGUGGCACUUAUAUUUCUGCUGAACGGGAUGAAUAUACUGCACUAUACUGCGAUUUUUACAGUGGAUCUGACAAAGAGUGCAUGAGUUUAUGAUGAUAUUAUUUUCAUGCUGUGCCACACCAAAUUGACCAAAGUUAAUCAAAAUGUGCCUGGGUUUCAAGUUUGGUAAGGAUUAGUCAAAAGGUUGAGGAUCUUCUUUACUAAAGGAUCUUCUUUACUAGUACUAAAGUUUUUUGGCAUUUGAUAGUUAUAGUACUACAAUAUGUACACUAUAUAGCCAAAGGUAUGUGGACCUCUGACCGUCCCACCAAUAUCUGGGCCUUUCCCAAACUGUUGCCACAAGCACACAGUUGUCUACUGUAGUAAUAAGAUUUUCCUUCAUUGGAACUAAGGGGCACAAAUCUGUUUCAUCAUGACAGUGCCCCUGUGCACAAAGCAAGCUUCAUGAACACAUGGAACACAAGGCUGAUGUUGAGGAAAUCGGAUGGCCUGAGCCCUGACUUCAGCUGAACACUUGGAAUUGGAAUCCUGACUGUACCCCAGGCCUCCUCACCUGACAUCAGAGCCUGACCUCACUAAAGCUCUUGUGGCUGAAUGAGCACAAAUCCCCAUAGACACACUCCAAAAUCUAGUGGAAAGCCUUCUCAGAAGAGUGGAGGCUGUUGUAGCAGCAAAGGGGGAACCAACUCCAUGCUAAUGUCUAUAGUUUUGGAAUGGGCACAUAUGAGUAUCACGGUCAGGUGUUCACAUACUUUUGGCCAUAUAGUGUAUAUGUAUCAAGAUCCAUUAACUGACUUUAAUAAUAACCACUAGAACUCUAGUCCUUCCUGUUACUAAUUUGAAAAAACAAAAAAACAAAACUAUUUCAGACAUUUGACCUUGCUGUGACUUUUUGACCCUGUUCAAUUCCAAAAUCUAACCAAAAUCUGCUGGUUACAAUGAUAAUUCUAUAUAUAUCCUAUAAACAUUAAACUAGCUGUUGUUGAGAUAUGGCGCUAAUGAGAAUCUCGGAUGAUAAUGCCUCCACCACCUAGUGACGGAGGCAUAAAAAAGACAUAUGUGAUAAUGAGAAUUAUUCAGUGAAAAUAUCAGAAGUUAAUAUGAGUUUACUGUCUUAAGAGCUUGUCGUAAUAUUACAGUAUGCUUUGUUGCACUAAUUAGACUAUCACUGGAGCCACUUAUGUUAAUGUAGAACUGUAAUGCACUGGUGAGAGAAGAUACUUUCACUGCACUCUUCUAAUAUAUGAUGCUGUCUUUUGUUAUUCAUUAACAGUCAUCACAGCCUGUGCCUCUGAGAGUGAAUUUGGCAGUUUCUGGCAAUGCUCUUAACUAAAUGUCUCUGACAAAACCAUUUGUACUGACAUCAUCACUUCUUCUCUUAAAAGAAACCAUUACCCAAAAGAUGACACCUUUGCUACAGUUCAUUUUAGGCAUAAAUUUCGAAUUGUGUGAACAACGUUACUUCCUGGCCCGGAUUAAUUUUAGUCUCUAGUCUACACAUGGCCCUUUAGCUCUUUGCAAAAUUUUGCCUCGGCUUUCAGUUCAGUAAAGCAUUGAGUGGUAUUGGAAGCACAUUCAUCCUCACGGCCAUUGCAAUAAUAGUUCAGAGAACCCAUUACGUUGCCAUUUUGGUCUUUCUGUAAUAGACACACUUUUGCUCUGCCAAUCUUAUGCUUUCAGUGGUUGUCUUCAUUGACUGCUACUGCUGAGUGGAAGGGAAAGCUGAGCCUAAAGACUGUAAAAAUGCCGAUAGAUGGAGAAGGAAUUGGAUGACCAGAUGCUGACCUUUGUGCUGCAAAUUGAUUCAGAAAGAAUGAAUCAUUACUGGGAUGGGAGAUACCACUUUCAUUUUGAUCCAAUACCAAGUAAUGUAACCAAAUAUGAAUCCAUUAUUCAAAAUGAACAGGUCACAUGUUCUAAACAGAUACACAGAUACAAAUAGGAGGUGCACUAUUCUUUUUAGGGUUUUUUGUUUCUUGCUUGCUUGUGAAGCUUGCUAGAAAGGUUCACAGAGAAUCUGGUUGAGACUAGAAGUGUACAUGGGAUCUUGAAGGACUCAACAAAAAUGUCACAUGAAUGGGAGAUUUUUACUUUCUUGAAGCUUUCCAUGAAGCUUGCAGGACAAAGAAAGGCCAUGCUCAUUAAUCUGAACAUGUGCCAAUGUGCAAUGCAUUUACAACAUUCCCUCAUUCAUAACAUCCUGGUCAGGGUCAUGGUCAAGAAACUGUCAGAGCCAAAAUUCACAUACCAUGCUGAUAGUAGUAGUAUUUCUACCACUGUUUCUUUUUCCAACAUUUUCCAGAAUAAAGGCCCACUUUGGGUUUAAAUUUGAAUACAGAUACAGAUAUUUGGAGCAAUGAACAGAUACAGGUGCAGAUACAGACUUUGGCAUUGCAUUACAUCCCUAACUGGCUGGUACUAGAACUUGUGAAUAAGAAAGCAGAAAUUUGUGAUUUGUACAGUGAGAAUUUUGAAAAAAAGAAAAAAAAAAUAGUAUAUGUAAAAGACAAAACUGGAGACUCUUUUCAAACUUUUGGGUCAUGAUUAAUUACACAAUUAAAUAGUGUACCUGUGUGUGUGUGUGUGUGUGUGUGUGUGUGUGUGAGAAACAGACCGGAAAAAAUGUGAUCUCAGUGACUUUGACUGUGGUUGUUGGUGCCAGACCAGCUGGAUUGAGUAUUCCAGAAACUGCUGAUCUCCUGGGAUUUUCACACAACAGUCUUUAGAGUUUACAUAGAAUAGUUCAGAUACCAAAAAACAUCCAGUGAGCAACAGCUCUGCAGGCAGAAAUGCCUUGCUCAUAAGAGAGGUCAGAGGAGAAUGGCCAGUCUGGUUCAAACUGACAGGAAGGCUACUGUAACUUUAUGUAAUCACUCUUUACAACCGUGGUGAGCAGAAAAGCAUCUCAGAAAGCACAGCGCAACCUUGAGGUGGAUGGGCUACAAAAGCAGAAGACCACAUCGGGUUCCACUCCUUUGAGCCUCCUACACGAAAAUAUAUAUAUUGUUAGUUUGUCCAAUUACUUUAGUUUUACAUACACACACACACACACACACACACACACACCCACAGGAGUCCCACCAUUUUCACAGGCACAAAAAUAAUUGGACAAACAAUCAUAAAUAUCAGGAUUAUUUUUAAUCCUUUGCAGUCAAUGACUGUGUGAAACCUGGAACUCAUGGACAUCACCAAAUGCUGAGUUUGAGACACUUUAAGAUGUCUUGAGAUGCUUUGCCAGGCCUUUACUGUAGCUGCCUUCAGUUGCUGCUUGUUUGUGGGUCUUUCUGGCUUCAGUUUUGUCUUCAGUAAGUGAAAAGAAUGCUCAAUUGAGUUGAGGUCAGGUGACUGCCUCAGCCAUUUAAGAAUAUUCCAUUUCCAAGCUCUUGGGUUCCUUUCAUUUUGGGUCAUUAUCUGUACAUUAUCUGUACCGUGAAGCGCUGUCCUAUUAGUUUUGCAGAAUUUGAUUCCAUCUGAGCAGAAAGCAUAAUUCUGUACUCUUCAGAAUUCAUCCUGCUACUUCUAUCAGCAGUCACAUUAUCAAUAAACACCAAUGACCCAGUUCCAUUGUAUGCCCAUGCCAUAACACUGCCUCCACCAUUUUUGACAGAUGAUGUGGUAUGCUUUGGAUUAUGAGCCCUUCCUUUCCUUCUCCAUACUCUUCUCUUCCCAUCAUUCUGGUACAAGCUAAUCUUGCAUCAGCUAACUGGUCAGGAUUUUUUUAGAGCUUUUUUAGCAGUCUAAUCUGGCCUUUCUGUUCUUGAGUGUUACCAGUGGUUUGCAUAUUGAAGUAAAAUGUCUGUAUUUACAUUCGUGAAGGCGUCUCUUGAUUUUAGACUUUGACAAUGAUACGUCUACCUCCUCCAGAGUGUUCUUGACUUGGCUAGAUGUUGUGAAGGUGUUUUUCUUCAACAAGGAAAGAAUUCUGCGAUCAUCCACUUUGGUUAUCUACCGUGGCCUUCCAGGCCUUUUGGUGUUACUGAGCUCGCCAGUGUCUUCCUUCUUUUUAAGAAUGUACCAAAUUGUUGAUUUGAUCUGCUUUUUUUCAGCCUAAUAAUGGCCUCUUUCACUUGCAUUGACACCUCUCUGGACUGCACAGUGAGAGUUCCCAUGAACAGCUACCAAAUGCAAAUUCAACACUUGGAAUCAACUCCAAACCUUUUAGCUCCUUAAUUUGUCAUGAAAUAAUGGGAAAACAUGCCACAUCUGGCCAUGACCUGCUUAUCAGUCAAUUGUCCAAAAAAAUGGCUGUAAUUCCUAAAUGAUUAAGGCAAUAUUUUUUGUUAAACUCCUUGAAUAAAAGCUGAAAAUCUACACUUCAAUCCCAUCUUUUAUUCACAUUAUAUAAAUUGUGUAACUGUCCAAAUACUUAUGGACCUGACUGUAAUUAAACAAAUAGAUAGAUAGGCAUUUUGUUCAUCAAUUUAAGCAGACAUCUCUUUUGUAAUCUGUCAUUUGUAACCUACUCAUGUUUUAAUAUUUAAUAUCAUGAAAUUUACCAAUGCUUAUGCACAGUUUGAAUUUGGACAACAAAUUAAUGUAUUUACCACUCAUCAUUUUCACUCAUCAUCUAAUUACUGUUUAAUUUGCUAGAUUGCUCACUGUGGGUGCAUCAGAAAAUCACAUAAUAGCAUAUCAAACAGUGCGGUACCAGCUACAAUUUACAUAGCGCAACAGCUUUCUACGAAGAACAAGUACAAUUCCUAACUUCUACUUAGUACGCAGAACUAAAAAAUGCCCAGGGUAUAGUUUUUCCAUUUUCUCAUAUAGCAGAAAAAUGCAACAUGAAACAUGAAAAGCCUUAUAUAGAGUAUAUAGAUCCUUGAGAAGUGAGACAGGAUAGAUACAAGGUCAUUUCAGCAGAUGAUCAUGCAUAAUAUAAUGAGAAGAUCUGUAAUAUAUCUUAUAACACCUAGAGAUCGUAGCAGGUGGGUAUGAAGAGCAAAUCUGAUUUGAUCACCACCCUUUUCGAAACUUGCUAUUGCUCUCUGCCACCUUUUAAGAAAUAGCAGUUAAUACCAGAGGUUUUUUAUGUGCUUCCCAAAGGGUGAGCUACAUUACUCAGCUUCCUACCUAAUUACGACGAAUCCCACUGACAAUCUGUGCUGAUAUGAUGGGCCAGCUGUGUGAGGUAAACAUUUAGUUAUUUGUUUAAUGGAUCCUUACAUACCAGAGGUGCCACCAAGGGCGAGAGAUAUCCUAGAGCUGCUGUUUGCUCUAUCUCUUGACAUUUCAGAUGCUUAAUCAGUGCCAUCCAAUGGAUUGAAUUCCAGCUUGCUGGCUUCUUAAUUUAGCCCUUGCCGCUGACACUUAUUCCUGUGGAUAAGAUAAGCUCUUGAAGCACGAUUCUCUAUCUCUGCUUCUCUUUCGCCUUUCAAGUAAAAGCUGCUUAGGCAGAGUGAACUGCACUGCACAGAAGGCAAACUGACAAUGUGUGUAGAUAUUACACUAGUAAGAAUUUCCUACCUACAGAAAUUCUUACUAGUGCUACUGACAGACAAGCUGAGAGACUGACUGACAGACGGAUGAAUGGACUGAUGGCAAACAUUUUUGAGAGCCAUAGAAAAUGGACCUUGAGUUCCUGAUAAUGAAUGUGAGGCCAUGGGGCUCUGACUGGCGUCUCCCUGUCCUGUCCUCACGCUUCUUGCUUCCUCUCAGGCUGCUGAAUCUCUUCAUGGCUGUCCGAGGAAUGCCAAGUGCCUGGGCAGUGCAGAGGAAACUACAUGCCACUCGGGUGGGUCAAGUCUCAAAAAAUUUACAAGCAUGCACUUCCCAGGGGAGCUAUGUUUGUGUGUGAGGUCUAUAAGAGGUUUUCUACAUUUCAGCAGGGGACGCUGAGUGAUGAACUGCUGCAGGAAGACUGGAACUGCUUAAAAAUCACCAUGAAAGGAAAAAUACAGGGCAGUGUAUUACACCAUUACACCAACAGUUUUUUAAAAAAGCCUAUAUUUUUAAUACUUUUUACUUAAUGUAACCAGCUGAAAUGACAUUUUAAGUGAUUAAAAUGAUGCUUUUAAAAAGAAAAUGUCUCAUCACCCAACACUAUGAAUGUACAUGAUCUUUUCGGAAUUAUUUGCAAUGCUGUAUUUCACUGUGAUCUCAGCACUAUUGUAUUGUACUGGAUGGGUGGCAUCAACUAGAAUUACAGAAAACAAGUUUAGAGUUAAUCAACUGAUUUGAUCUAGCUGUGUGCACAAAUUAAUUUAAAAAAUUAAUUUAAAUAAUCCGAAUCCCUAAUUAAAAUCUUAACUUCUAAUAAAAAGCUUCAGAUUGUCCUUAAUGAUGGAUUUGUCAAGAAAACAGCAAUGUUACAUUUGAGACAAAUUAUUAUACUUUCCCACCCUUUUUAGUGCUAAAGAGGAUGAAAAAUUUCCUUUGAGGGACAUUUUCCACAGUCCAUCUAAAAUAGCUCUGUGAUGCCAUUGCAGAAAUCUGUCAGCUGAACAGAGAUUUCAUUUUCAGCCAGGAAUUCAAGUUUAAAGUAACGGAGCAACAGGAUUAAAAUCAUUUAUUUUUUAAUAAUUUAGUGUAAAACUAAAACCAGGAUGAAAUGAUGUCUUGAAAGUAAUUUUUAUUAUUUUUAAACAAGGUUUAAAGCAACUGAAUUAAUACUUUAAUAAAUUAAUAAAAACGUUCCUGCAAAAAUCAUCCACCUCAUCUUAAAAUCUCUUUUAUAUUCAUGUCUAAAUAUUGUUCCUGUUUGUUUGAUUUGUCUUUUCUUUAGUCAUUUUUGUAAAAAAUAAAAAAUAAAAAGUUGCUUUAAGACCUUCUUCAGUCUCUUUGGUGUCCCAUGCCUCUGGUGGUUUUAUGUAGUUAUACUUUAUUUCCCUCUAGUGGCCUAUGUAUGAUGAUGAUGAUGAUGAUGAUUAUAACAAUAACAAUAAUAAUAAUAAUAAUAAUAAUAAAUGCAGAAGCUCUGCAUUUAAAAUCUACAAUUCAGUGAAUAAAAAGUUGUCAGAGGUCAAAUCACUUUCAUAACGCAUUUGUUUCAGUUAUGGCUUCAGAGAACAUGUGGCUCAUUGUUCCACCAAUGAAAGCCAUGUUUUGGAUCAAACAGGAAGCUUCUCAGACAGAUUCUGACCACUUGGUGGCUCUGUGGGCUUGAAAAACCUAAGAAUAAGUACAAUACAAGUAAUUUCUUAAUUUGUGCUUCCUCAUUUUCUUUUCGCUUCCCUUCCUUGUUUUCUUGUUCCUUUAACAAAGGAAUAAGAAAGUGAGGAAAGGAACAAGAAAGCAGGGAAGGGAAGCAAAAAGGAAACAAGGAGGCAUAGAUUAAGAAUGCACUUGUAUGCUUAUUCUUUGGUUUUCCAAGCUCACAGAGGAUGUGAGGAGAGGACAGGAAGUAUUUUGGACGAAUGUAUUGAUUAAUGAGACGUCGUCUGCUCACUGAAGCGUCACUUUAAAGUGACUUCCCUUAUUUAUGACAUGUUGCACCAGGCAUAACGAAUAUGCAUAUACUCUACACAAGUGUGAUUACACAGUGAAUGAACAUCAAUUGAAACAUUACUGCACUUACAUAUCACAUUUGAAUGUUGUUUUAUUCAAUAUGACUUCUCACACAUACUUUUAUUUAUCCUUGAGCUAGUAUCUCCUCUAGGAUCUCCUCUCUUAAAUUCAUUCAGAGGAAUCCAGAAUGGAUUGUUAUAUCCUUCAGAUGCUGAGCUACAGUCAGUUUCCGGGUCACAGGCCAAAGGAUGUAGGAUCAAGAUCUCAAUUAAAGGAGGCCUCUUUAACCGUAAAAUAAAUUCCACAAAACCCCUCAGUACAGUUUUAUGAACAUAAUCCAACUAUACAAACAUUAGGCUCAUCAUGUAAGUGUGUACAUUAUUAUUAGCCAUUAGCCAUAGAGCUUUAUUAGCCAUAGAGCUUUUUAUUACUGAAUGUUCCACCAACAGAACACAUUUGCUCCAAGUUAACAUUAUUUAUAGGGUUAGGUUUAGGGUUAGGCCAACUUGUUUUUGAGUUACUGAGGUUUGGAUUAAAUCCAUUCAAUUCAAGUGAGCAGUCAAACAGUCUAAUAGUUCUAAGAAUAUUAAAUAUAAUAACUUUGAUACUGAUGGGUUGUUAUUUCCACCACUAAAAAAAAACAUCAACAACACAGAUUUCCUGGAUAUGCUUAAGAUACAGCGGGGUCCAAAAGUCUGCGACCACACUGAAAUUUUCCUCAUGCCUAAUCUCUUCUAUUGAAGCAUGUCUUCAGACGACACUCCGAUGGAUUUGAUAAAAAAAAAAGCACAAGGUCACAAGGUUUUGCACAAACUUGUGGAGUCCAUGACAGCUCGAGUGCACACUGUCAUUAAAGCAAAGGGGACACAUACCAAAUACUAAAAAACUUUGAAAUUCAUGUAUAUAUUUCAAAGAUUCUACUUUUCACUCAAGUUGCUGUCAGUAAUAUAAUUUGUAAUGAAAAUUGCUAUACUAAAUUAGAAAAGAAUGCAAAAUACAAGCAUUUUCACUGGUGCUCUCAGACCCCACUGUAGCUGACUCUGAGAACCAUUGCAUUAGAAUACUAGAAUAGAGAGAUGCAGCCAUACACGCUCUUGCUUUCUCUGCACCUCCUUGUGCCUCUGAAGUGAGAAUCAGAAGAUGACUUGGCAUCAGUGCUUUCACGAAGCCUGAGCACCAAUUACUCAGGACCACAUGGCUGAAUCCAUCCAGCAGUGCAUAAGAAAGAGCACAAAGGCUUCUUUGCUCUCUUGCACCUCCUUGC